RNAcentral lists this ribosomal RNA (1614 nucleotides) under uncultured gamma proteobacterium DCM-ATT-9. RNAcentral describes it as "bacterial SSU rRNA". It matches the Rfam family "Bacterial small subunit ribosomal RNA". The record is from RNAcentral. Lineage: Bacteria; Pseudomonadati; Pseudomonadota; Gammaproteobacteria.
AGAGUUUGAUCAUGGCUCAGAUUGAACGCUGGCGGCAGGCCUAACACAUGCAAGUCGAACGGUUACAUUUCUAGCUUGCUAGAAGAUGACGAGUGGCGGACGGGUGAGUAAUGCUUGGGAACUUGCCUUUGCGAGGGGGAUAACAGUUGGAAACGACUGCUAAUACCGCAUAAUGUCUUUGGACCAAACGGGGCUUCGGCUCCGGCGCAAAGAGAGGCCCAAGUGAGAUUAGCUAGUUGGUAAGGUAACGGCUUACCAAGGCGACGAUCUCUAGCUGUUCUGAGAGGAAGAUCAGCCACACUGGGACUGAGACACGGCCCAGACUCCUACCGGAGGCAGCAGUGGGGAAUAUUGCACAAUGGGGGAAACCCUGAUGCAGCCAUGCCGGCGUGUGUGCAGAAGGCUUCGGGUUGUAAGCAUUUCAGUUGUGAGGAAAAGUUAGUAGUUAAUACCUGCUAGCCGUGACGUUAACAACAGAAGAAGCACCGGCUAACUCCGUGCCAGCAGCCGCGGUAAUACGGAGGGUGCGAGCGUUAAUCGGAAUUACUGGGCGUAAAGCGCACGCAGGCGGUUUGUUAAGCUAGAUGUGAAAGCCCCGGGCUCAACCUGGGAUGGUCAUUUAGAACUGGCAGACUAGAGUCUUGGAGAGGGGAGUGGAAUUCCAGGUGUAGCGGUGAAAUGCGUAGAUAUCUGGAGGAACAUCAGUGGCGAAGGCGACUCCCUGGCCAAAGACUGACGCUCAUGUGCGAAAAGUGUGGGUAGCGAACAGGAUUAGAUACCCUUGGUUAGUCCACACCGGUAGACGCUGUCUACUAACCUGUUUGUGAACUUUUAAGUCCUUGCCAAAGACUGACGCUCAUGUGCGAAAGUGUGGGUAGCGAACAGGAUUAGAUACCCCUGGUAGUCCACACCGUAAACGCUGUCUACUAGCUGUUUGUGACUUUAAGUCGUGAGUAGCGAAGCUAACGCGCUAAGUAGACCGCCUGGGGAGUACGGCCGCAAGGUUAAAACUCAAAUGAAUUGACGGGGGCCCGCACAAGCGGUGGAGCAUGUGGUUUAAUUCGAUGCAACGCGAAGAACCUUACCUACACUUGACAUGCAGAGAACUUUCUAGAGAUAGAUUGGUGCCUUCAGGGAACUCUGACACAGGUGCUGCCAGGGCUGUCGUCAGUCUGUGUCGUGAGAUGUUGGGUUAAGUCCCCGCAACGACGCCAACCUUGUUCUUAGUUGUUCCAGCCUUAAGUUGGGCAACUCUAAGGAGACUGCCGGUGACGGACGGGAGGAAGGUGGGGACGACGUCAAGUCAUCAUGGCCCUUACGUGUAGGGCUACACACGUGCUACAAUGGCAUUUACAGAGGGAAGCGAGACAGUGAUGUGGAGCGGACCCCUUAAAGAAUGUCGUAGUCCGGAUUGGAGUCUGCAACUCGACUCCAUGAAGUCGGAAUCGCUAGUAAUCGCAGGUCAGAAUACUGCGGCGAAUACGUUCCCGGGCCUUGUACACACCGCCCGUCACACCAUGGGAGUGGGAUGCAAAAGAAGUAGUUAGUCUAACCUUCGGGAGGACGAUUACCACUUUGUGUUUCAUGACUGGGGUGAAGUCGUAACAGGUAACC